UUCUUGACCUUGCAAGACUUU
This 21-nucleotide non-coding RNA is filed under the name Hordeum vulgare. RNAcentral also lists the same sequence under 4 other names. The record is from RNAcentral. Lineage: Eukaryota; Viridiplantae; Streptophyta; Magnoliopsida; Poales; Poaceae.